Long non-coding RNA from Numida meleagris (helmeted guineafowl), 9265 nucleotides. RefSeq lists it as uncharacterized. The transcript has 17 exons. The record is from RefSeq and is a predicted model, not a curated record. NCBI's taxonomy places the organism in Eukaryota, Metazoa, Chordata, Aves, Galliformes, Numididae.
GGGUCUGGGCCACCAAUAUGAGAAUCCCUACCAAUUUUGAGUGCUCUGUGGGAAAGCUAAUGCAGCAAGAGCAUGAAAAAAAAUUGAGGAUGGCACAUGAUACAGAAAGCAGAAAGGAACCCAAGAGGAAGUCACACAUCAUGGAUCCAUGGAGCCCAACAUCACUGGGCUGUGUUGCCAAGAUGGCACAGCUCAGGCGUUGCUGCUGGAAGUGCUGGCACUUAGCUCCGGGAAAUCAGUGGGACUCACUGUGGAGCAAAGUAUUAUCAGCGAGGUCCCAGCAAGAAGUCACAGUGUAUUCUUCUCCAUUGCUCCCUUUGGAGUUCAUGUGUUCAGCCUUCUUUCUAAUGAUGGCAAUAAGCAGCUGUCAGCUUUAUCUGAUGAUGGUUGCUGCUUCACUGAUCUGCCUGCUUGAGUUAUAGGAUGCCAGGACCAAGCUGUCUUUUAUUACAUGAUGGAGACUCGGUCACUCUUACAGAAACUAUGAAUCCUGCCAGCUUCUGGUUUUUCAGUCUUCCAGUUGGAGAGGAGAGACACAGAUAUUUAAGACAGAUGCAACUUAGAUGCAACACGCUUUUAUCUACACUCUACAAGAGAGCAUCUUCAGACCCAGACAGUUCUGCUUCAUUUCAUCAUUAAGCACUACCUGCAAAAUCUUGAAGUGAGGCCACAGUACAUGGAAGCUUGGGUACCACUCAGAAAGGCUUGGCCAUCUUUGGGGGAGCUUGGUCAUGGCCUGUGUGAGGACAUGUGCAGAGGACACAGGCGGCGGUCACCCUCCUGCUCUCUGGAAGUCACCACAUGGAAAGCACAUGGAGACCCUUGAGUUCAGAAAAAAUGGGAAGAGGAGUCAAAACAAACAUCCAAGAAAUGCCAGUAAAGUAGAAGAAACCAAAGCAAACAGAAGCUAGAGGACAUAGAUCUCAUGACUGCUAUCCUGAAAAACCUGCUAUGUACCAGAUCCACAGGUGUGUGAGGCUGGAUGAUCAUCCUUCUGGUGGAAUGCAACAGUGAAGUACUCCAAGAGAGCGGAUGAAUCUGGAAAAAGGUAGAAGAUCGUGCUAAAAUGUAAUGUCUACAGGAAAGAGGAAGCUCUGCAUACAGCCAUGAGCAAAGCACAUUGAUGUUGACAUGUCCUGGUGUUUCUUACUCAGUUUGCGUCUGAGAGCAGUGGAAGGAAGACUCAGUGCGUGAUGCUGGAGUAUUAUGCAUCAUUUUACAGGCAAAGAUCAAACAUCUUUGUGUUUGCAAGGUUGGUUAGUCAGCUUCUGUGCAGAAACAGGAAAAGUGCUGACAAACUCAACAGAAGAAGUUCUGUCUUGUGAUGAAACAGCCCAUGUUCUAAUGACUGGUGACAGCAUGGAGAACUAAAAGUCUCAGGAGUGUGCCCUCCAGAAAACUUGUGAACAAAUAACGUCUCCAGAAGAUGUCUGAUGUAGUGUAAACAGUGGCAGAAGCAGGCCAAGCUGGAAGAAAAAAAAAGAAGAAAUAAAGGAAAUGAAGGUGAAUUUAUGCUUGGCCAGUAAGUCCAAAAUUAUGCUGGUGAGAUCAGACAGAAAGAUGGAGAGACAGCCAGCCUCCUGUGGCCCAUAAGGUUAAGGAUGGAGCCAAAAACAGAAAGGAACGACAAAUGGAGGCAGUUGGGAGUUCCGCCAAUAGAAAGCCCCCAGCCAAGCAGCGGAGAGGGAAGGAAAAGCUGGGGCUCAGUCACUCAAACAGACCACACUGCCUGUCAUGCCACUGCUGAAAUCAUAAGAUCACGGCAGAGUCUAAACAGAAACCAGGAAGUGGCACCGUAUGUACUACACAAAUCCCCAGCAUACUGGAACAAUACACUCACCUUGUCCACAAUGCAGAUCUGCUUCUUGCUUUGCACAUCAAGGAUUUCCACUUCAAAAGCUGCAGAAAACCAUGGGCAUUGCUGCCAUGCAAAAGACCCUGCUCCAAUUUGCUUUCUGCUGUGACUUUCCACUGAGAGCAAACCACGUACGAGCACUGCAGAUGCUGUAUGAGAGUCCAUCGGCUCAGAAGUCUUUGUGCCAGAGCCCUUGGCACAAUGUCAGGCCCAAGAGGAACUGGCUGUGCCUAUGGAAAAGACAGCACACAAGGAUUCCGCAGCAUUGGUUAACAAAGAUCUCACCCUACUGCCUUUGGUUAAGUUUAAAGAGAACACCAGCUUUAAUACUGAACAUUGCACAGCCACUUGUACUUCCAUCCUUCACUUUAUCACACCAUGACUAUGCACUUAAAGGAGUAUUGCAAGGCAAAGUGGAAAAGAGACCACUCAGAUGUCUCCGAAAUAGCCCUUGAACUUAGGCACAACCCUAAGUACAAAAGCUACUUUGGUUCAGCCACUGUGCAUCUAAAGAUGAGCACAAUUAAAACAUUCAGAACAAGCAAAACUCCCUUAAUAGAGAAAAUACAGACAGAAUUUCAGGAGCCAAAGCAUUCACCAUGUCUCAUGACCCAUGAAGAGCCAGUGGUAAUGUAAUAUACUUGACUCAAAUCAGCCUGAGAAUGAGCCAGCUGCCAGGCAUGAGGGCACUAACAGCCUCUGAUUGCCCUAAUCAGCCCCUCCUGGGGCAGCCUCCACCCAUGGAUCUAUAGAAACCCAAGUCUGAACCCUCCACUUCUUUUUGUGAGCUGUGUUGUAAAGGGACUGAGGUUAGCCCUGCUCUCUGCUGUACUUGAGGUGCUUGUCUUGGGAGCUGCUUCAUUCCCCUCUGUCUGCCUGAAGGCCUCUGCAUUGUUGGUGGGACUGGUUGAUGUUACUUGCUCUCAUGUACUGCUUGGCAGUGUGAUUGCUAUGAAGAAGCUGCUGUAACCUGUUUCACUCCUUAUCCCCCUGAUUGGAGCAGCUCUGUUUUUACUGCGCCCUGCUGUUGGACUCCUGUCACCCAAGUAAGUGCCCUGUACUAAUUUUUUUCUUGUGUUGACUUGAUGCCUCUUACAGGGUAUCUAUGUGUGUGUGUCAGAGCGCUAUUUAUGGUCUCUGCGUUGCUUGACAAAGAUAGAGAGACUUGGGUUGCUUUGUGAGGGUUCCUAGAACCUGAGUAUCCCUGGACUGCAGGAUGGCAAAGCAGGGGCUUUAAGAGGAACCACCAAUGCUGAAAAAGUCUUGAGUAAAUACAUACCUUUAGAGAAAAGGAGGAUGUUUAAAUGAAGGUCUUGUUCUGUUUAUGUGCUGAUAUUUCUCUCUGGGAAAGACAAGUAACGGGAAAAGAUUCUUUGGAAGGUGUGAUGAUCUCUGGUUUUGUGUUCUUCCUUGUGCUUACUUUGCUUUAGGAGUAUGAGACAGUCUGACAGAUCUGAUGGAGCGCUGAUUCCAUCUCCUGGUCUCAGAAAGGAAAGUCAGAAUUUAAGUUAGACCUUAUUGCCACAGUGAAGCUCGCUAAGUCUCUUUCUCCUAAAUAUCAAAGCAGAGCCAUAAGGAACUAUAAAGAAAAAAUAUGUGAACUGUGUUUUUCCCCUAGAGUUUAAAUGUGAAGUUGUACAAAGAUUGGAAACUAAUUAAACUGGUUGUGUGAAUUUAGUUUAGGACCUUGGGUCCUAGGAGAAAAUUUGACUUGUGUCGCUCUGAAUUCAAUUACAUUUUCACACUGACUGACACAAGCAGACUUUGCUUCUUGUUGUCUUGCCCAAGUAACCAUUUUCUGACUUUUCUCUUAAAACUAAGCUUCUACAGUGAUGCAACAAAUAACUUGUUUGAGUAGGUGUAUGUCUGAAGGGUCUUAACUGAGUAUCACAUCAUUUAUUAAACUAACUGGAGAUUCUGAAAGAUGAUGUUUUUUCUAAGCAGGAGAGGUAUUUUAACAUUUAAUAAAUACACUGUGGGAAAUGUCUAGCUGAUGGUCAGUCUUUGUUGCUGAACUGCAGUCAAGUCCUAGAUGUGUCGUGCUGCUCUACAGAAGGAUCACAUGCAGAGUUCUUUUUCCCUGACUUGCUUGCUCAGCUUCAAAAUUUAAGGUGCUGUUAAAUAGGAUCUCUUACAGUAAGUGUUGCUGGGGUUUUCAAACAGCUUUAAAAAGCUACCUCCCACCAACUCAAAGGGAGGAGAUGCUUGUAUCUGUAGAUAAAGUCAUCUGUGUCAGGGCAAGAAAAAGAGGAUGGAGUGCACUGUUUUUAAGUGAACCAGGAAGAUGGUCUUAACUAACUGGAAAAGCACUAGAAUAUUUUGGUAUGAUACUAAAAUUGCUUUUGUACUGUGAGAGGGCUAGCUUAUUGCAUUUUUUACUUGAGGGGAGUGAAAUAUGGGAAAGGUGAUCUGAAAAUGUUAUCUUGCUAUCUUGAUGUGUUUUGUAAUGGAUGAUUUUGUCUUCAUCUUGUAAGAUGACUUUGAGAAUCCCCUUCAUUGCUAUGGCAUGCAAGUGUAGCUGGAAGAGCACUUGAAACUAUCCAAGGUUUCUGAUAGGAAUUACCUUCUGCUUGUCUGACUCUUUCCACUCUUUCAUAUUUCUUAUGGAUUCCUGGUGACUUCUGUAAUGGAAAUUGCAUGUGGCAUGUCUUUCACACUCAUGGGUUUAUCAAGGUCAAGCUAACAAGUUCUCUUUUCCCAGCUUUUGACUUCAUGUGACAACCUGUAGUAAGUCUUAGUCACUUCAGGCAGAUGACUAGAUGCAUCCCACAAGACCAGGGAUGCUUUGUUAGAGUGAUAAAGUGGCUGUCAGACUGCUGGUGUUAAGUGCUGCUCAAAAUACCCAAAAAAUAAUGGGGAACUGACACAAGAAUUACGAUAAAAGGGGAAAGGAAACUUCAGGUUGGACCCAAGCACUGCUAGGAGCUUGGUCACCUUAUAAGGAGAACUGUACAAUUCAUUUGACUCAAUGUCCAAAUGGAGAUCAGUGGUGUCCCUCAGAGAUCAGUGCUGGGACUGAUGCUUUUUAGUAUCUUCAUCAUUGUGGGAUUGAGUGCCCCUGCAGCAAGUUUGCAAAUGACACCAAGCUGUGUGGUGUGGUCAACAUACCUGAGGGACUUGAUGCCAUCCACAGGGACCUAAACAGGCUGGAGCAGUGGGCCCAGGUGAAUCUCAUGAGGUUCAACAAAGCCAAGUGUAAGGUCAUGCACCUGGGUUCUGACAACUCCCAUUAUCAGUACAAGCUGGGGAAUGUAAGGAAGGAGCACAGCUCUGCUGAAAAGGACUUUAGGGUAUUUAAGUUCCUGUUCCUUAGCAGUAUAGAAAGAAGUUAAAAGGCUUUAUCAACUUGCAGGCUGUUCUCUCCCCCCCCGCAAAAAAAUCUGUACUUCCUGUUCAAUCUUUAUCCUAAAUCUUUAUUAAGACUGUUCCCUUUCCUUUAUGAAAGCUCAAGUAAAUGCUCUCUUAGAUACAUUUCAAGAAAAAUUCCUGUUUUGACUAUUAUGACAAAGACUUUACAGUUUCUUGUUUGCAUCAUUCUUUCUCCUUUGGAUAGUUUAGAUCAAAUCAGCAUAAAGAUAUUUCCCUUGUUUCUGGAAAUUACUCCAGUUUGCCUUUACACUGAAAUGUACAGCAACAAAAUAAGCUCUACUUUGAAAGACUAAAGCUUCUAAGACCCAUUUGUAAAUGUCAGGUAUCUGCAGAUGAUGUUGAUGAACACAAGUACACAAAAAUAAGCAGAAAGGCCAGAAAGAAAGGAGGCAGAGAGGACAGGCUAACAAUACCAAAAUAGCCUUCAAAGAUCAAGAGGUUGAAGCUGAGACAGAUGAAUAACAAUGGAACUAUAAGUUGCUAGUGCAAAACAAGAAGAGAAAUGGAGGCUAUAAAGAUGACAGUGACCCUCUUUUAAAUUCCCUAGCUCUCAGAGUAGAUUCUACUUGCAGUGUGUUGCUUUUAUUCCCGUGCCAGUAUUAGAUACAGAGCAGAGGUGGCUCCUGAGUUUUCAGAUGGAGUACAGGGAGGAUGGUCACAGAGCAAAGCAAUCUGUUUCUCCUGUCCUAAACUAUCCUCCAAUCUACCACAGAACUUGCUUUUACUCUGCUCAGUCAAUGCCAGCAGUAGUACUCAAGGACUAAAUUCUCACUUAAUUGAGGAAGGCUGUAGGGCUUUACUGCUGUAAUUGUUUAGCAGUUAUUUUUCCUGAAGCUGCAAUUAUCACUGUCAAUGCAAUUCACUGGGUAAUGGAGGAAGUCAGAGAAGUGUAUGCUUCAAAAACUCUCAGGUGCUACUUAUUAAUGGCAUUUAUUUAUGAUGUUCCUACUCUGCUCCUCUGUUGUUCCAGGCAGAAUUCAGAGUUCACCUUGGUUUAGACCACUAGCACAUCUUUCAUCUAUGCAUUUGAAGGAGUGAGUAUUGGUGGAUGAGGAAACAAAUGCACAAGUUAAAUAAGUGUAAUUACAAAACAAAAGCAAGAAGUUUUAAUUUCUUGGAUCUAACACUGACAGGCAUGUAGAACUGUUAGCAAAUCCAUGCUGGAUUAGGUAAAGCUAAACCAGAAAUGCCUGUGGGAUUUAGGUCUCACCAAAUCCAAGAGUUAUUUGGCACUCAGUAAUUUAUACUGCUUCCAUUUUUUCCCCUUUGUUCUCAUCUGGAACAUCGAUCCAAGCCCUUGACUAGCAGCUGCUCCUAGGACAGGCACUCUGCACAUUUCACCACAAUCUCUGAGACCUUCUAAUUUCAGAAUCUAGUCAGUUAUACUUUCCAUUAAAAUUCUGUGUAUAAAGAGCUAAUAAAUGUUUCAGUACAUUCUUCAUAAAGUCAUAAAAUCAAACAGACCAGCAGGCUGUUUCUGUCUGUGGCCUGUAACCAUCUGCAACAUUCACUGAUGUAUUUACAACCACCUAUAGGUAAGUGGCAUACGCGGUAUCCCCUCACGCUUGUAUUAACCUCCUACAGCCCCUUGCAGAACGUUUCUCUGAUACCAAGUUGGAUCAUAAUUCUAUUACUCAGAGGGUAUGAAUUUCCAUUUUCUCUCUAGAAAACAGAAGAUGUCUUUGUUUUUAGUAGCAGUUUAUUGCUUUGUUGCUUCUGAACUGGAAGGACAGAAGAAAAUUCUGUGCAGUGCAUGAACAUGUGCACUGCAUAAACCUGCUACAAACAUUCUGAUAAAGAUGAAAAUACUGGGUAAGGAGUGUUUGCAACCUGUUAAAAAGGUUCAGUGGUGCAAAGGCAAAUCUGUUACUAAAUUUGCUGAAAAGAAAGAAAGAGUAGUGAGUUACCCAAGUAAUUUCUGGGAUUAGAUUUGUAAAAUACAGAGCUUUCCUGGUAUAAUUAUUAUGUACACCCUCUAAUGCUCACUUAAUACUGCAGUGUUAGAUUCAUGUAAUAAACAGGUACAUUCAUGAUGUAAAACAACUGUGGACAGAACUUGCUUGAUGAUUUGUGUUGAUUUGAGGCUACUUUAUGCUUAUGCAAGGGUGCCAUCAAGUGGUACAGGAGGAGAACUUGGUAAAGAACUGAUCCUCUGGCUUAGAUCUAUUAAAUAGAAGAGACAGUCUCAUUAAGUGCCACUUUUUUAAAAACUGUAAAUAACAAGGGACAAAUAUUGAUAAACACCGCUGUAACACUGUGAGAUCCUCCAUACUUAUUCCAUUGCUUCUGGCCAUGCUGGAGCUGAUAAGCUUAGAAAUGUCUAAUUGGGGAUUAAUUUGGGGGAUCUAGCAAAGAACAUAGCUUCCAUCAAGAAGCUAUCUCAGCAUCUCAAACUUUAGUACAUUAAUCCAUAUGUUACUUUGAGGAAAGAUUUUACUGUUGUUUAGGUUUUUUUGUAGUUUUUGUUUUUUAAUACCAAGGUAACCUGAGCACACACAAAGCAAAGAGCUGUUUAGGCUCUUUUAUGCACGGUAAAAUUACUACAAGUUGCCUGCCCCUAAGUGUCAUUACAAGUAUGAUCCUAGGUGGUCAGAACAUAUGGGAAGUCUGCAUCAGUGCACAGCAUCACAGCUUCUCCAGCUCUAGAUGAGUGGAUGGUAAGACCAAGAGCAGCACACAGCAGAUCUGCUAGUUCUAAGGCUUGUCUGGCUUACAUAAGCUUUUAGCUUUUAUAUAUAUGUAUAUAAAUAUACAUGCACCUAUAUAAAUGCACAAACAUAGUGCUUAUGAAAGACCACUGCAUGUUCAGUUCUGGUAGAGCUAAGUAGCAGAUACCACCCUAUGCAGAGCUUACUGCUGGUAAUUGCCCUUGCUCCAGAUUUUUACAGCAUUUGUGUGAUGCAGCUGAGAUCAAUGCAGCACAAUUUUAAUUGAUUUCCUUUUGCCCCAUCUUAAUUGGAACUUUCUGGUAUUUGCUGAACAAAACUGUAAAACUCUUGAGAGCGAGCAUUCAGCAUUUUAAUACAGCCCUGCACCAUGAAUAGCAAGUCUACUUUGCUAACAUUCGAGAGUCCUUAAAAGGACUGAGACAAAGAUACCUUCCAGACACAAGGCGUGUUUCUAUUAGGUAACCUUGAACUCUACUCUCAAGUUUUUCCCUGCUUUAUACCUGUUGUAAAACACAUGUCAACACUGCCUGCUUCCUUUGAUGACAAAAACUAAUGUUAUGCAGUGAGAUGAAUAGUGUGGUUAUUGGGUAAUCCCAGCUGUAUUCAAGCAGAUGUUUCAAGUAACAGAAUAGGGAAAUGCCAAGGAAGGAGAACAGUAAGAGCAAUAACUGACAGACUCCAAAAGAGUGGUGAUGCAUUGGCACAGGCUGCCCAGGGAGGUGGUGCACUCACUGCCUCUCGAGGUGUUCAAGAGACAUGGAGACAUGGCACUGAGAGAUGUUUAGUAGGCAUUAUUGGUGGUAGAGGGACAGCUGGACUAUAUCAUGGUUGUCCAACCUUUUGGCUUGCCUGGGGCACACUGAGCGAGCAGGAAUUGUCUUGGGCCACAUAUAAAAUAUAUAUUGAAUUUAAGGUAUGUAAGUAACAAAACUUAAUGUAUUUUUAUUAAAACAGAGCAACAAAAACAUGAAACUAGUGGGAUGAUUGACCUUGUUUCUGUGAAACAAAUUAAUCAGGUUGUUUUGGUGGCAAUGGUUGCAAUUCUUGGUGAGUUCUGGGCAGGUAUUUGUCAGAUUCUUGAUGAGAUAUUAUUCUUCCUGUGCAUCAUCCCUGACAACAAUUGUUCACAAAUGUAAGUACUGCUAAAAAGUAAUGACAUGAAUAAAGCAUGACUGUGAAGCAAGGGAUAUUUUUUCUGGUAAGAUAGGUUAUAAAACACUCCGGUAAACUGGGAUGACCAAAUUUUUCUUUGAGAUGAAUGUCUGAUUGCAACUCUAUAUGUUCCAUUUGAUAAUCUGCAAGACGUAUUUAUGUUGAGUGAAAAUGGAGUUGCAAAUAUACCAAAAAUUGAUUAUUUUUUUGAAGUCUUGAA